RNAcentral lists this ribosomal RNA (196 nucleotides) under Staphylococcus aureus. RNAcentral's name for it is "partial 16S ribosomal RNA". It matches the Rfam family "Bacterial small subunit ribosomal RNA", at positions 1 to 190 of the family's 1533-position model. The record is from RNAcentral. Lineage: Bacteria; Bacillati; Bacillota; Bacilli; Caryophanales; Staphylococcaceae.
UUUUAUGGAGAGUUUGAUCCUGGCUCAGGAUGAACGCUGGCGGCGUGCCUAAUACAUGCAAGUCGAGCGAACGGACGAGAAGCUUGCUUCUCUGAUGUUAGCGGCGGACGGGUGAGUAACACGUGGAUAACCUACCUAUAAGACUGGGAUAACUUCGGGAAACCGGAGCUAAUACCGGAUAAUAUUUUGAACCGCA